AUGAGGUAGGGAAAGGCAGGGAGUGGAUGAGUAGAAACAAAAAAUUAGGAAUGAAGAAGGGGAGAAGGGAGGAGGAAGAAUGAUACAGUAAUGGGAGAGACAGAAAAGCAGAGAGACACUAAUAUUUUAGUCUAUAUUCUCCACCAUUACAGCAAACCACAGACAGAGUGGCUGAAACAACAGAAAUGUAUUUACUUCACUAUUGAAGGCUAGUAAAUGCAACAUCUUGGCACCAGUCACUUACAUUACAGGCAAAUGCUCCCUUCCUAGCUGGCAGAUGGUAGAUUCUAUCAGGUCCGAUAAAAAUGGCUCUGUUUCAUGUGAACUUAACGUCAGAGAGUUCGAGCCCACAAUUGCUCUUUUAAAGUUAAACAACAGAAUGUUGGGCCUAAGGUAUGACUACUGUGUGUCUUGCCUUAACAAGAUAUCUGCUCUAAAGUGUAGCUAAUGAAUGUCUCACCUUGACAACAGGAUAUUUGAUUUAGGGUAUGGUUAGUUGAUGUUUUGGAUAGUAAGAAGGUAAUUAUUCUUGCUUGUUCUUUGUAUUUUGAUAAGGAAGUCUUUUCCUCCCCCUUCUUUUUAUUAGGUUAUUUAAGAGUUUUGAAUAAUAAGCAAGGGUGAUCCUAGUACUCACUAGAUGCCCUCCAGACUCUAUCUCUUCUUUCUUGUCUAUUUUUUCCCUCAGUCUACAUUCCCCUUCUCAGGUAUGGACUGGACAAGUUGGCUGCUUCCAAGAGAUAGCCUCUCAACAUGGGUUACUACAAGAUUCCAGUUGCAUACUCAUGUGAUUAGAUAUCUGAAGACAGUGUUGGGAACAAGAACCAAGAGUGAGUCCAGCAGAGAAUAGAAUAGAAUUCUACAUAAUCAGCUCCAAUCUGGAGAAUCACAAUUAGAAUACAGAGGACCCCAACUCAAGACAUGGUGCCACUCACAUUCAGAAUGUUUUCUCUCCAUAGUUAAAAUAGUCCCUCAAAUAUGCCAGAACUGUGGUUCCUAGUUUAUUCAAAUCCAGUCAAGCUGACAAGUAUUCCAAGCUCAUUCCUUGCCAACUUGGCAUAAAAAUAUCAUGUUUGAUCCAUGUAAAUUACAACAAAGGAAUAUCUAUGUUUUGUGUUUUGUUUUCUUUAAAACUUAAAAUAAAAAAAGAAGCACUUUUUGA
This 1159-nucleotide long non-coding RNA is filed under the name Cricetulus griseus (Chinese hamster). Its description in RNAcentral is "lncRNA (ENSCGRG00015039613.1)". The record is from RNAcentral. Lineage: Eukaryota; Metazoa; Chordata; Mammalia; Rodentia; Cricetidae.